This 268-nucleotide ribosomal RNA is filed under the name uncultured bacterium. RNAcentral describes it as "partial 16S ribosomal RNA". It matches the Rfam family "Bacterial small subunit ribosomal RNA", at positions 524 to 795 of the family's 1533-position model. The record is from RNAcentral.
UACGGAGGGGGUUAGCGUUGUUGGAAUACUGGGCGUAAAGCGCGCGUAGGCGGAUUAGUCAGUUAGAGGUGAAAUCCCAGGGCUCAACCCUGGAACUGCCUUUAAUACUGCUAGUCUUGAGUUCGAGAGAGGUGAGUGGAAUUCCGAGUGUAGAGGUGAAAUUCGUAGAUAUUCGGAGGAACACCAGUGGCGAAGGCGGCUCACUGGCUCGAUACUGACGCUGAGGUGCGAAAGUGUGGGGAGCAAACAGGAUUAGAUACCCGGUGUC